GUUUUCCUUCGUUGCCUAAAUAGCAGGCCUGUGUUGACCCACUGCCGCCAUCGUGUGUCCGCUCGCUGAACAAGAGUCUAGCAGGGAAAUGUAUGGCGAGGUCCUCCUAUUCAACUUUCCGGAAGUUCGGUGCCUGAUUGCUGCCAAAGAUAACACCACCAAGAUAACUAUAAUCAAGACAGGUGAAGAAAACCAGCGAAGGUGCAGGCUUCAUCACUCCAAGCAGUGCCAAACACCUGUGAAAUGAGUCCUUUCUGUUGUAGUUUCCGCAUGAUUCCUAAAGAGGUGCAACUGAUUGAAUGAAACUGUUGAUGUCCAUUUAAAGCUAUAAAUACAUUUGUUGCUAAAUAGUUUCAAACCUUGUUUUAUAUGGAA
This is a long non-coding RNA of Xiphias gladius (swordfish), 375 nucleotides long. RefSeq lists it as uncharacterized. NCBI's taxonomy places the organism in Eukaryota, Metazoa, Chordata, Actinopteri, Istiophoriformes, Xiphiidae. The transcript has 3 exons. The record is from RefSeq and is a predicted model, not a curated record.